GCGUGUUGAGAAAGGAUGAGGAGGUAAAGCUCCUUCUGUUCUCACUUCUUAGAGGGUAGGUCAGACGUGAGUUGGAGAAGAAAAAAAAAAAACAAGGGAGAUACUUUGAAGAAGUGUUUUGAAGACAGACAGGACAAACAGAACCAGAAGUGUUGCUGAUUCGGCCCUCUGCCCCAGUUGGAAUGCUUCUACACAUUCAUGGGAGUUGUGGACCAGAGGCAGCAUUGUUAUGUUCGGAACUUUUACAUCUCCAGCUGGUUCUCUUGCAGGGGUUACUCCUGGAUCUUCACGUGGGAAUUACUCCUGGCAGUGCUCAGCGGGCCAUAUGGGAUGCUGGGAAUUGAACCCAGGUUGGCCGAGUACAAGGCAAACACUCUACCUGCUGUGCUAUUGCUCCAGCCUCAUAAAAGUAAUUUUUUACAAAAAAAUAUUGAAAUCACAGUGAAAAUGUUCAGAAUGUGUCAGUAUGCGUGUGUGUAUCUCUUGUUUAGCCAAGUCUGUGCCUUGAUGUGAGUUUCUACUCUUGGAAACAAAAAAAA
Long non-coding RNA from Sorex araneus (European shrew), 539 nucleotides. RefSeq lists it as uncharacterized. The record is from RefSeq and is a predicted model, not a curated record. The transcript has 3 exons. NCBI's taxonomy places the organism in Eukaryota, Metazoa, Chordata, Mammalia, Eulipotyphla, Soricidae.